Molecule: ribosomal RNA, 484 nt
Filed under: uncultured bacterium
Lineage: Bacteria
Description: partial 16S ribosomal RNA
Rfam family: Bacterial small subunit ribosomal RNA
Source: RNAcentral
AUUGAACGCUGGCGGCAGGCCUAACACAUGCAAGUCGAGCGGAUGAAGGGAGCUUGCUCCUGGAUUCAGCGGCGGACGGAUGAGUAAUGCCUAGGAAUCUGCCUGGUAGUGGGGGAUAACGUCCGGAAACGGGCGCUAAUACCGCAUACGUCCUGAGGGAGAAAGUGGGGGAUCUUCGGACCUCACGCUAUCAGAUGAGCCUAGGUCGGAUUAGCUAGUUGGUGGGGUAAAGGCCUACCAAGGCGACGAUCCGUAACUGGUCUGAGAGGAUGAUCAGUCACACUGGAACUGAGACACGGUCCAGACUCCUACGGGAGGCAGCAGUGGGGAAUAUUGGACAAUGGGCGAAAGCCUGAUCCAGCCAUGCCGCGUGUGUGAAGAAGGUCUUCGGAUUGUAAAGCACUUUAAGUUGGGAGGAAGGGCAGUAAGUUAAUACCUUGCUGUUUUGACGUUACCAACGGAAUAAGCACCGGCUAACUUCGUG